This 71-nucleotide small nucleolar RNA is filed under the name Pteropus vampyrus (large flying fox). RNAcentral's name for it is "Small nucleolar RNA SNORD112 (ENSPVAG00000028136.1)". Lineage: Eukaryota; Metazoa; Chordata; Mammalia; Chiroptera; Pteropodidae. The record is from RNAcentral.
UGAACUGUUGAUGACUGCGUGUCAUGAACUAAGGAUUAUGACUAAUCCAAUUCUAUAUAAUCAAGUGCAAA